UCGGCCUCCUUCUCCCCAACAUUCUCUUGUCCCAGUUCUGCUCUGCGGUCAAGAAGGGCCCCAGCUAGGCCCAGUCCAGAGGCCCCAGAUCCUCUCAAUGACCUCUGAGCCAGCCACAGCCCACCCAUCCAGUGAGAUUUAAUUGGUUUCAAUUGACAACCGUAACAAGAAGGCUCUUUUAGGAAACUUCGGAAAUGGAAGGGAGGCCAUUAGGAAAUUUACAUUUGCGAAUAUGAUGUUUAAUUAGCAAUACCAAUAAAUUAAUAGGAGAAUCUUGCUGCGGUUCUGGGUUCAUAAAACACCAGCCUCCGUCGGCAGAAGGAGACUGCGGCAGCCCUGGGCCGCCCGAGGGGAGAGGACGGUGCCGUGGGCCAGUCACGGAUGCCCUGCACCGGCCGCUCCCGCUCCCCUUGUGCCCCCAACUCAUCCUUGGAUGGAGUCGGGGCAGAAUGAAGCCAGUAUGGACCGUGGAACUGGGAGGGCCUGAGUCCGUGUCCUGGCUUACUUACUCCUUGGAGAGGUCCCUCAGCUUCUGAGCCUCCAGGUCCUUCUCUGUCAAAUGGGGGUAAUAAUAAUGAUAUCCACCUUCUAGGGUUGUUGUGAAGAUUAGAGGAAUGAAUGUGGGUGAAAGCACAUCGAACAGAAAGAAGCUGGCACAAACAGGCAUUCAGACGCAUUUGGAAGCAAACAGCUCUGACAGGUGCCUCCCCAGCUUGCAGACAGUCUGUGGCUUCCCACUGCUUUCAGGAUUUCGCUCGCGCAGACCCCACCCCCGCUGCGUGGUCUGGCCACCUCGUCUCCCACCUCCUCGGCCUCAGGCACCAUCUUCUGCCACCAAGCCAGGCUUCUCCCCUCCCAAGCCGAGCCGCCAGUUCCCUCCUGCCCCUAGGCCUCUGCCUGUGCCCCGCUCAUCUUGGAGUGCUCUUCUCUGGCUGGCACACUCCUCCUCCUCCGCCAAGACCCAGCCUUACAAAGCUCCCUCCGACCCCAAGCAAGAAUUAGAGUCAGCUGGGGGCCUGGGAAGCGGGCGGCCUUAUCCUCCUCCUCCCCACCACCACCACUGUGCCCAGCACUUGGGACAGGGACUUGCUGGUCACUCCCUCCAAAGAAGCUGGUGCCUGGACCCUGAGCCUGUUCUCUGGAGACUCAAACUACUCGCCUUCUGUGGAUCCUGGAAGACCCAUUCCACACCUCCUCGAAGGAAAGUCUUCCCUGGCUGUUUCUCCAGCUGCCGUGCUCCCACCUCCCUUGGUUCAUAUCUCCACCACUGUGUCUCCCCUUGCCUUGUAAUAAUUGGGCUGCUGGUACUCUCUCCCCCUAGGUCUUGGCUCAGAAUUGGGCCUUCUAUCUCUUGCCCUCUCCAGGAACAGAAACUGCUCUGCCUGAAUAGAUGAAUAAACAAAUGAGUAAAUUGGAAUGGGUUUAAAUGUUGCCUCCUCCAAGAAGUCCUCCCUGACCAUUCUAGCUCUAUUUAUAAUCAUUGCAUGUGUUUAUUGUCUGUCU
This 1503-nucleotide long non-coding RNA is filed under the name Equus caballus (horse). RNAcentral describes it as "lncRNA (ENSECAG00000059732.1)". Lineage: Eukaryota; Metazoa; Chordata; Mammalia; Perissodactyla; Equidae. The record is from RNAcentral.